GGGUACUUUUUGCUUCUAGUGACAUAUUUCUUCUCUUCAUUCUUCUUCUUCUUCAAGCUCUUCUUCAUGAGAAAUUUUUUAAAUUUUCUUGAAAGUAGUAUCAUGUCCUCAUCAUCUUCACUUUCUUCUUCUUCUUCAUCUUCUCCCAACUCAUUGCUUUCUUCAUAAUAUGCAUUGGAUUUGAAGGCGAUGGUCUUCCUCAUAGGU
This 207-nucleotide long non-coding RNA is filed under the name Elaeis guineensis (African oil palm). Its description in RNAcentral is "long non-coding RNA (EGUI_LNC031088)". The record is from RNAcentral. Lineage: Eukaryota; Viridiplantae; Streptophyta; Magnoliopsida; Arecales; Arecaceae.